AACGUAGGUGGCAAGCGUUGUCCGGAAUUAUCGGGCGUAAAGCGCGCGCAGGCGGUUAUGUAAGUCUGAUGUUAAAGCCCGGGGCUCAGCCUCGGUUCGCAUUGGAAACUGUGUAACUUGAGUGCAGAAGAGGAAAGUGGUAUUCCACGUGUAGCGGUGAAAUGCGUAGAUAUGUGGAGGAACACCAGUGGCGAAGGCGACUUUCUGGUCUGUAACUGACGAUGAGGCGCGAAAGCGUGGGGAGCAAACAGG
This 252-nucleotide ribosomal RNA is filed under the name uncultured bacterium. Its description in RNAcentral is "partial 16S ribosomal RNA". It matches the Rfam family "Bacterial small subunit ribosomal RNA", at positions 524 to 776 of the family's 1533-position model. The record is from RNAcentral.